Molecule: small nucleolar RNA, 70 nt
Organism: Venturia canescens
Lineage: Eukaryota; Metazoa; Arthropoda; Insecta; Hymenoptera; Ichneumonidae
Source: RefSeq, a predicted model, not a curated record
UACAAAUGAUGACACUUAAGUUGUGAUUGAUAAUGAUUGUAAAACAUUGAGCUUUUUAACACUGAUGAAA